This 215-nucleotide unclassified non-coding RNA is filed under the name uncultured Tricholomataceae. Its description in RNAcentral is "sequence contains ITS2". Lineage: Eukaryota; Fungi; Basidiomycota; Agaricomycetes; Agaricales; Tricholomataceae. The record is from RNAcentral.
AAAUUCUCAAUCCUUAUUCAGCUUUGGCUGAUCUGGAUUGGAUUGUGGGGGUGUUUUGCGGGCUUCAGAAGUCAGCUCCCCUGAAAUGCAUUAGCGGAACCUUUGUGGAUCUGGCUCCAGGUGUGAUAAUUAUCUUACACCAUGGCUGUGAAGCAGUCUGCGUUCGGCUCUCUAAAAACCUGUCUGUCUUCUUGGAGACAACUACUUUUAUGACA